UCGUUUUCGUAGAGCAGCCGCGAGCAGGCAGCCGCUGCUGCAGCGACGCCGGCGUUAUUUCCUCUCUUCGGCGACACGCAGCCGAUGCUGCCGCUGCUGCUGCUGCUGCUACUACUACUACACCGCGGCUAUUCCUCUCCUCGGCGCUUUUCCGCCGGCUGAACCACUUGCCGGCCGUUUGAAUUUUCCCGCGGCGAGCUUUUCACGCAUCUGACAAGAGAGAGAGAGAUAGGCGAGAGUUUGAGUUUAUUUCAAGAGAGACGUUGCGGUUGUAGAGUGUGGCCUUGAUCUCGCGCGAGAGAGAGGAGAGAGAUUUUUGCACGAGGCUUUUCUUUGUACGCCGAUUUUCGAGUGCGCUGGAUACUAUACGAGGUUUGGCGAGGGAGAAAAAGAGGAUACCGACGACCGGCUGUACACAAGUGCUUUCGACCGAUUCAGCGAUGCGUAUAGGAACCACGACGAGUCGAGAAGAGGGAAAAAAAGUUGCAGUGCCCGCAACCAACGCACGGGCCGCCGGCAUAUAUUAUAUAGACUACAUCCUUCGAAGCAUGCGCCAAUGCGCCACUAGGCAAAAGAAUCACGUUUACAUAACAACUGGUUGGAGAGGAAUAUACAGGCAGUCUGGUGCUCGUUAACGUGUCAAAGUCUGGUAACUCCACCACCGUUGGCGGAAUGUUAAAAAGCCAAUGGGGUACGAGUUUCCUACCAUUGACGCGUUGUUCAACAGGAAUGUGUGAAUAGGCGAUGAGUUUGCUGUUUGCUUGAGGAAUAUGUACGAGGUAAUGAAAAAUUGUAAGAUGGCAUAAUUACUAUAAGAAUAAAUUGCUUUCAGACA
Molecule: long non-coding RNA, 835 nt
Organism: Nasonia vitripennis (jewel wasp)
Lineage: Eukaryota; Metazoa; Arthropoda; Insecta; Hymenoptera; Pteromalidae
Exons: 3
Source: RefSeq, a predicted model, not a curated record